AGUGAACGCUGGCGGUAGGCCUAACACAUGCAAGUCGAACGGCAGCACAGUAAGAGCUUGCUCUUACGGGUGGCGAGUGGCGGACGGGUGAGGAAGACAUCGGAAUCUACUUUUUCGUGGGGGAUAACGUAGGGAAACUUACGCUAAUACCGCAUACGACCUACGGGUGAAAGCAGGGGAUCUUCGGACCUUGCGCGAUUGAAUGAGCCGAUGUCGGAUUAGCUAGUUGGCGGGGUAAAGGCUCACCAAGGCGACGAUCCGUAGCUGGUAAGAGAGGAUGAUCAGCCACACUGGGACUGAGACACGGUCCAGACUCCUACGGGAGGGCGCAGUGGGGAAUAUUGGACAAUGGGCGCAAGCCUGAUCCAGCCAUACCGCGUGGGUGAAGAAGGCCUUCGGGUUGUAAAGCCCUUUUGUUGGGAAAGAAAAGCAGCAGGUUAAGACCCCGCUGUUCUGACGGUACCCAAAGAAUAAGCACCGGCUAACUUCGUG
This 492-nucleotide ribosomal RNA is filed under the name uncultured bacterium. RNAcentral's name for it is "partial 16S ribosomal RNA". It matches the Rfam family "Bacterial small subunit ribosomal RNA", at positions 29 to 507 of the family's 1533-position model. The record is from RNAcentral.